CCCGGCCCUCUCCCGCGAGCGGAGGGAAGGCUCCCGAGCGCCUCCGAGGCCGCGGGAUGCCGGGCACAGGCCCAGCGGCGGGUGGAAGCGGAGCCGAGCAGGAGAAAGAGAGGGGAGGGGGAGCGAGUAGCUCGCGGCCGAGGGAACAGCAGAUUGCGCCCAGCCAAUGGCAAGGGCUGGGGAAUCUCCUGUCUGGGCCUCUGUCUCGUGAUCUUUGUCCCCAGGUCUCACCUGGCAAGCAGUCAGUGAACUCUCUGGCCCUGGCCCUGGUCCGAAGAACUUUUUCCCCAGGAGUCACCCAGCUUGUCAGUCGCCUGGUCAUGCACUCUGCCCAGAGACAUUACCUGUUCCUGGCCAUGCUACGUGAUCUGCAGACAUACCCUCGGGACAGAAUAACCUGUUAGAAGACCCUUCCCUGGGCCCCCAGUUCAUGACCUAGCCAAAGACAGAUGCUGAACCAACUGAGUCAUCCAGGCGCCCCUCCAGUUUCACCCUAAAUGACCCCAUGGGAUUUAGCACCACCAUCUCCUCCAGAAAGUCUUCCCUGCUUCUCCCAACCUGGUCUGCUGUGGACCUCUUCUCACUGUGUGCUAAGCUCCAUCAUCCAGUCAUAAGGAUCUCCUCCUCUAUGGUGAUUGCCCAAGGUCAGGAGCUCCUUAUGACCUCAGCACUUAGCACCAUGCCUACGACCAUGUGAUGUUCCAUAAACGUUCAAUGAAGGGAGCCCGGAAGGGCAAAAGGAAGGGAACGUCAAGUGGGCUGUCCAAGUUGCAUGAAGAUCUGUGAGCAUUCCUCCGCUCAGCCCCCCACCCCCAUUUGACAUCUGGCUGGGGACGCUCACAGACCCACAAGAUUUUAUUUAUUUAUUUGACAGAGACACAGCAAGAGAGGG
Long non-coding RNA from Callorhinus ursinus (northern fur seal), 892 nucleotides. RefSeq lists it as uncharacterized. The record is from RefSeq and is a predicted model, not a curated record. NCBI's taxonomy places the organism in Eukaryota, Metazoa, Chordata, Mammalia, Carnivora, Otariidae.